UGAUAGAGGCGCGGCUGUAAAGAGUACCUGCUUUUCAAAGGCAAUGGAAUCAGCGAAAGGUGCAGUCGCCGAGAGGUUGCUGUGCUGCCUGGCAUGGCAAUGCUCGGGCUGUAGGAGAACAUCCUACAGACUGUCGUCCACUAGAGGACGGAGAGCUAUCA
RNAcentral lists this non-coding RNA (161 nucleotides) under human gut metagenome. Its description in RNAcentral is "Lysine riboswitch". It matches the Rfam family "Lysine riboswitch aptamer". From Rfam's summary of the family: Riboswitches are metabolite binding domains within certain messenger RNAs that serve as precision sensors for their corresponding targets. Allosteric rearrangement of mRNA structure is mediated by ligand binding, and this results in modulation of gene expression. The record is from RNAcentral.